AUAUAAAAAAUAGAAUAGGGAGAGAAACGAGAAAGAAAAGAGGGUAGAAAAAUAGAGAGAGAGAGAGAGAUAGAGAGUAAUGACAGAAAUGAUAUAGGAGAGAUGAAGAGCCGAGGGAAAUAAAUACAAAAAAGAGAGAAAGUUGUUUUUAAAAUAUGGAAAACCGACAGUUCAACGCGAACAAAAAAACAAGGAAUGGAAGACAAGGAGAAUAAAGCAAAGCAAAAUUAUGAGUACAGCCUCGCUAAGGAUAACAGCAGUAUAUCUGAAGAAUAGAACGAAAGGUGUAUGAAUGCAUGAGCAGACAACAGAAAAAUAAGAAAAUGAGAAAAAUGUGACGCUAUUUUAACGGUCAGAUGUGCACCCAUAUGGUAGAGGCGCAAGAAACUACUAACAGAGCACGUAUUCCCCUCUUCACUACAAUUGGGAUUUUCGCAUCAAUGAUAAUGUACUUCUUGUUGUGCUAUGCCACAUUUCGCCGCCGUUCAAUAUAUGUUGCCGCACCCGAAGUAACAGCAAGGGAUAGGCAUGAAUGGUGGUGUGUAGCACUGUGUGUGGUGUGUGUGUGUGUGCUGUAAACGAAUAAUUAGCCUGAACGGAUCGUCGGGUGUGUAUCGAAAAAGUUUAAGAAGAGAAAAAAAAUCACAAAAUCGAUGUGAAUAACAUAAUAUAUAGCCUAUAUAUAUAUACAUGUAAUUACGAACAGGAUUUGCUGCUAAUUAGUGGAAACAGGAAGCGAUGAUAAGCGUGCCCAACGUGAAUAUGCAUUGGCGAUUCCAGGCGCGAUAAACCUGAGGGCGGCGUGUACAUCUGUAGGUGAGUGUAACGCCAGUUUAGGAUGCGUCAAAAAGGGACGUUGAAAGUGCGUUUGUUGCCACCAUUAUAUAGACAGAUAUGAGUAGAAGGGGAAGCGAGAGCGAGAACGAGAGAGAAAGAGAGUCAGAGUGAGACCAAGAGAGAAAGUAACUAAUGCCAGCCGAACCCGGAACGAAAAUACAAACCACACGGAAACGUACGUAGAAAGGGAAGCAACAACCCCAUGUCUCUCCAGUAGCAACUUUAGCACAUUUGCAAACAGCUCCAAAAACGUUUUAUUGUUCGGUGUUACAUGGUUUGUAAAGUAGAGGAAACAAUUGUAUCCACCGCAGUGACAGGUGAUAUAGGGAAAUCGUUCCCUUCAUCCACUCGCAAUACAUACGCAUCAACCUCUGUCGUCGUCCAUUUGUUUGGGCUGCCUCUGUGAACUUCUUGUACAUGUGUACAUGCACGCGUAUCGUAUGGCAAAAUUUGGGUUUAAAUCUAUUGUUCUGUUGCGUCAGUUAUACUACUAACAACCACUACCGGAUUGCGUUUGGUGCGAAUUACUUACCCAUUUGUGAUAGUUUUGAUCCCGGUGUAGUUUUGAUCCCGGUGGCUUGCAGUGCAUUGGUUUUUUUUCUUCGUAUAUUUUAAGCAUCAUAACUGUGACACCAUAUGAAAUUUCUAUUAUCUAUCAGGAGCAAAUGGGCUGAACAAAGCAGCAAAGGAAAGAAGAAAAAAAAAUAUCUCGCCACUUAAACUCAGCAUGAAAGAAUGGCUUAUUUGGUGGCGGUAUGUCAAAAGAAGAAGUUAUCGGAGGGAUCAAACAUCAAUAGAAGGGUGUGUAUGUGGUAGCGAGGCUGGACACACCACGAAGAAGAAGGCUUAAACGUAUGAGUGAAAGCUGAAAAACAAGUGAAAUGGAAGAGGCAAAAAUAUACUCUAAAUACUCCUAGGCCCAUUAUAGAGAAGUAGAGAGAAGGCGGAUAGGGGAAACCGCUUAGUUAAAAUGAUUUAGAGAAAAAUUAAAACCAAGCUGAAGGGAAUUUAAAAUCGGACGUAGUUUACAAAAAAGGAUACAGAUGAUGCCUCACGCGGGGGUACACAGCUGUACAAGAAGCUCCCAGGAGAGAGUACCAUAACUACUGAAGACGGCAGGGCGGGGAGGGCUAUGAUGCUAUGAAGACGAGUGUGUCGUGAUGAGAAAAGCCCAUGUUCUUUCUCUACACCACCACCACCACCACCAUCUCCAUCACGGGAAGAUCCUUUCUCCUACCCCGCACACAGUCAAUCUGGGUGUGUACGUGUGUACGUGGUGGAGUAUGGAUUGUUGUGGAUCAAACAAUACCAGGAGAGCUACAAAAUAUGCAAAAUGCUUCUAACAAAAAAAAAAAACAAAACAAGACGAUACAAAGGUACCGCGGAUAGAUUGUAUGGAAAUUAUUGAUGAAAACAAGAAAUAAACAAAAAAGAGAGGCAGAUGAAAAAUACCCCUUUAGAGUACAAACAGUGCUCUAUAGUAAAGAAGCAUAUAAAGGAUUGUGUGUGUGUGUGUGUUUGUGUUUUUACUUCCUCUGGUGCGCACCCAAUGUUGCGCUUUUAACGAAAGAAAUAGCGAAUUAAUUAAUAACAAAAAAAAAACAAUUAAAUCAAUAUGACGGCUUGAUCUGGAUUGUAUUGCUGCAUGUUCUUCUUGAUUCUAACUCAGUUCAAAUGUCUUCCGAUCACUAUCUACUAACGAAUGGCUCUUGAUGCUUGCACGGCGUGUCACGACCACUUCCAAUUAAGCGUGUCGUCACAGUAGCCAUCGAAACUUGCACGAACGUUGAUUAUACCAGGCCGAUCCUGGGAAUUACCUGCAGUAGGUGAAAGGGCGUAAAAUUGCUUUACGAGUUGUGUAAUUAACCAAUCGAAGCAAGCGUGGUGUAAAAAAAGGUGUGGACUAUAGUGUUGGACCACAAAGGGCGCUAGUUUGCCCUUCAACGACAAACAUAGAUCGACCGCGUCCUUGUGGAUUGGAGACGACGAAAGUAACACCACAACAACACGUGGAAAGUUGCUAUCGCAAAGUCUGCUUAAGGAUAUUGAAAGUAGUACCCCGGAGGACCACCAUCGGUGACGUCAAUAGUGACGAACGAAUCGAAAGCAACAUUUGCGAAUUCUAAUGAGAUAUGACUCGAAAACGGAAGAAAGCGAAAAUAAGGUCAUUGACACUGGAGACCACUAAGGUGCUCGUGAGUUGGCGUAGAACGAGAACAUGUAAUGAUGAAAAAUUGAAUGAAGCAACACAACAGACAGCACCAAUCAUCCCAAUCACUAUAAAACGAGGGUAAAAGGAUAUAUGAAGUAGUGGUGAUCAGAAUCGGCUCCGGAAUCGGAAUGGACCUCGGAAUCGCAAUUUGCUCCGGUAACGGAUUCAGAAUUGACUCUAGAAUUCGAAUUAGCUCCAGAAUGAGAAUCAGUUCUUGAAUUGUAAUAAGAAGAUUCAGGAAGAAAAUCAGUCCGGGAAUCCCCAUGAGAAUGGAUCAUUAAUAAUAGUAAAUUGUGAUUCUUUGCUGUUAUCAAUAAGUAGCAUCAUUGGAUCCAAACGUCUAUUCUUAUGAAGAUUCC
This is a long non-coding RNA of Anopheles merus, 3408 nucleotides long. RefSeq lists it as uncharacterized. The transcript has 3 exons. NCBI's taxonomy places the organism in Eukaryota, Metazoa, Arthropoda, Insecta, Diptera, Culicidae. The record is from RefSeq and is a predicted model, not a curated record.